This 497-nucleotide ribosomal RNA is filed under the name uncultured bacterium. RNAcentral's name for it is "partial 16S ribosomal RNA". It matches the Rfam family "Bacterial small subunit ribosomal RNA", at positions 28 to 507 of the family's 1533-position model. The record is from RNAcentral.
GAUGAACGCUGGCGGCGUGCCUAAUACAUGCAAGUCGAGCGAACGGACGAGAAGCUUUCUUCUCUGAUUUUAGCGGCGGACGGGUGAGUAACACGUGGAUAACCUACCUAUAAGACUGGGAUAACUUCGGGAAACCGGAGCUAAUACCGGAUAAUAUUUUGAACCUCAUGGUUCAAAAGUUAAAGACGGUCUUGCUGUCACUUAUAGAUGGAUACGCGCUGCAUUAGCUAGUUGGUAAGGUAACGGCUUACCAAGGCAACGAUGCAUAGCCGACCUGAGAGGGUGAUCGGACACCCUGGAACUGAGACACGGUCCAGACUCCUACGGGAGGCAGCAGUAGGGAAUCUUCCGCAAUGGGCGAAAGCCUGACGGAGCAACGCCGCGUGAGUGAUGAAGGUCUUCGGAUCGUAAAACUCUGUUAUUAGGGAAGAACAUAUGUGUAAGUAACUGUGCACAUCUUGACGGUACCUAAUCAGAAAGCCACGGCUAACUACGUG